AUGAUACAGUUUUUGAGCCUGAUGGGAGGUAGCAACAUUGGAGACGCUGUGAGGAGAAUCCUUCGGAAAAUAGCUACCAAUGAGGCCUGGUCAAAUUACAGCCUGAAAGGCCGAAAAGGAAAACUGACCUUCAUUGGGACAGCGCUUCACCAUAUUGUUUUAAGUGCUUGUGCCAAACAAUUUCCGAAACACACAGAAAAGGAAAUUGAUACAUGUAUAGGGGAAACCCUCAAACAUGCACCUCACCGUGCCAAGGUGGUCGCGACACCUGCAGCGGAAGAAGAACUUCGGGCACCUCCUGGGGAUGGAGACAAUGACUGA
This is a long non-coding RNA of Cyprinus carpio carpio, 321 nucleotides long. NCBI's taxonomy places the organism in Eukaryota, Metazoa, Chordata, Actinopteri, Cypriniformes, Cyprinidae. The record is from Ensembl.